This 31-nucleotide unclassified non-coding RNA is filed under the name Homo sapiens (human). Its description in RNAcentral is "tenascin XB (ENSG00000236221.9)". Lineage: Eukaryota; Metazoa; Chordata; Mammalia; Primates; Hominidae. The record is from RNAcentral.
CCUCCUGAAUGAUGCCAGCCCAGUAUGCUCU